CAGUCGCCACGGUAAUACGUAGGGUCCGAGCGUUGUCCGGAAUUAUUGGGCGUAAAGGGCUCGUAGGCGGUUUGUUGCGUCGGGAGUGAAAACCCAGGGCUUAACUUUGGGCUUGCUUUCGAUACGGGCAGACUUGAGGCAUUGAGGGGAGAACGGAAUUCCUGGUGUAGCGGUGAAAUGCGCAGAUAUCAGGAGGAACACCGGUGGCGAAGGCGGUUCUCUGGCAAUGUUCUGACGCUGAGGAGCGAAAGUGUGGGGAGCGAACAGGAUUAGAUACCCCGGUAGUCCCUGUCUCUUAUAC
Molecule: ribosomal RNA, 301 nt
Filed under: uncultured bacterium
Lineage: Bacteria
Description: partial 16S ribosomal RNA
Rfam family: Bacterial small subunit ribosomal RNA
Source: RNAcentral